AAAAUAAAGCGAUAUAAAAUUGCAUUCAGUUUCGGCCUGAAUUUAGAAGUAUUUCUAUUU
RNAcentral lists this transfer RNA (60 nucleotides) under Dermacentor everestianus. RNAcentral describes it as "tRNA-Arg". Lineage: Eukaryota; Metazoa; Arthropoda; Arachnida; Ixodida; Ixodidae. The record is from RNAcentral.